RNAcentral lists this ribosomal RNA (870 nucleotides) under Brachybacterium sp. GUFBSama06-27. RNAcentral's name for it is "bacterial SSU rRNA". It matches the Rfam family "Bacterial small subunit ribosomal RNA", at positions 15 to 894 of the family's 1533-position model. The record is from RNAcentral. Lineage: Bacteria; Bacillati; Actinomycetota; Actinomycetes; Micrococcales; Dermabacteraceae.
GAUCCUGGCUCAGGACGAACGCUGGCGGCGUGCUUAACACAUGCAAGUCGAACGAUGACGGUGGUGCUUGCACCGCCUGAUUAGUGGCGAACGGGUGAGUAACACGUGAGUAACCUGCCCUCCACUUCGGGAUAACCUCGGGAAAUCGUGGCUAAUACCGGAUAUGAGCACUCAUCGCAUGGUGAGUGCUGGAAAGAUUUAUCGGUGGGGGAUGGACUCGCGGCCUAUCAGUUUGUUGGUGAGGUGAUGGCUCACCAAGACGAUGACGGGUAGCCGGCCUGAGAGGGCGACCGGCCACACUGGGACUGAGACACGGCCCAGACUCCUACGGGAGGCAGCAGUGGGGAAUAUUGCACAAUGGGCGAAAGCCUGAUGCAGCGACGCCGCGUGGGGGAUGACGGCCUUCGGGUUGUAAACCCCUUUCAGUAGGGAAGAAGCGAGAGUGACGGUACCUGCAGAAGAAGCGCCGGCUAACUACGUGCCGGCAGCCGCGGUAAUACGUAGGGCGCAAGCGUUGUCCGGAAUUAUUGGGCGUAAAGAGCUUGUAGGUGGCUUGUCGCGUCUGCCGUGAAAACCCGAGGCUCAACCUCGGGCGUGCGGUGGGUACGGGCAGGCUAGAGUGUGGUAGGGGAGACUGGAACUCCUGGUGUAGCGGUGAAAUGCGCAGAUAUCAGGAAGAACACCGAUGGCGAAGGCAGGUCUCUGGGCCAUUACUGACACUGAGAAGCGAAAGCAUGGGUAGCGAACAGGAUUAGAUACCCUGGUAGUCCAUGCCGUAAACGUUGGGCACUAGGUGUGGGGGACAUUCCACGUUUUCCGCGUCGUAGCUAACGGAUUAAGUGCCCCGCCUGGGGAGUACGGCCGCAAGGG